RNAcentral lists this ribosomal RNA (253 nucleotides) under uncultured bacterium. RNAcentral's name for it is "partial 16S ribosomal RNA". It matches the Rfam family "Bacterial small subunit ribosomal RNA", at positions 524 to 776 of the family's 1533-position model. The record is from RNAcentral.
AACGUAGGAGACAAACGUUAUCCGGAUGUACUGGGCGUAAAGGGCGUGUAGGUGGUUUCGUAAGUCUGGCGUGAAAUUUUUCGGCUUAACCGGGAAAGGUCGUCGGAUACUGCGGAGCUAGAGGACGGUAGAGGCGUGUGGAAUUCCGGGUGUAGUGGUGAAAUGCGUAGAGAUCCGGAGGAACACCAGUGGCGAAGGCGACACGCUGGGCCGUACCUGACACUGAUGCGCGACAGCAUGGGGAGCAAACAGG